This is a long non-coding RNA of Osmerus eperlanus (European smelt), 846 nucleotides long. RefSeq lists it as uncharacterized. The record is from RefSeq and is a predicted model, not a curated record. Lineage: Eukaryota; Metazoa; Chordata; Actinopteri; Osmeriformes; Osmeridae. The transcript is spliced from 3 exons.
UUAGCAUUUCCAGGGACUGAUGGGAAAUCUUCAGAGCUCUUAUCCAGGGAAGAAUCCGGACAAAGGAAAAGAGAUCAAACCUAAAAUACCAAGCCUUAUUAAGAUGAUGAGAUAUGAAUAAAGUAAAGAGACCAGGGAGGAGAGACCAGCUAUACGACAGUGUAACACCAGACACAGAGGAGAAGACACCGGAAAGAGAGAAGAGACCUGUGUGGGCUGUGGAGAUUCCUGCUUCUCAUCUCUGUUUACUGGAGAAUAAACUUCAGGUCUUUUAUGAGUUUCAUUCACUCGCAUACACUGUUAACACACACUCUGUAAACACACAAUGUUGUGUAGGCACCUACGCAUGCACACAAACCUUGUUGAGAUCUUCUUCCACCCACAGCUGUUUGUGUGAUUCAGAAAACAAAGAGAGAUUAGUGUGUGAGUGUGUGUAUGUGUGACUCAGACACAGGUGAGAGUGUGUGUGUAUAAUCAAGGUCACCCUUUGACGACUGCGAGACGUGGGAGCCCUCUGCUUUGUCGGAAGUGGAGGAGGAGAGGAAAGCUACAAGAAUUAUAUUUAUAUGAUAAAUAUUCUAACUGAAUAUACACAAACACACACAUAAACACAUGUUCGCACACCCACUCUGAACCCAUUUGCGAUGUCACCCUAAACUCCAGUGCUCCCGUCUGUGAACGUGGGGUUCUGGCGUUGCCAUGGCAGCAGUGUUGUCCCUCCAGCAGGUAUUUUAAGGGAGCAGUCAUCCUCUGCUGAUACCACAGGAAGACCAGAGGCACCACAGUACCCACUUAAGCUUUAUUAGAUGACCUCAAGACUUGUUUGAUUGAUUUAACCGUGUCAGG